RNAcentral lists this ribosomal RNA (253 nucleotides) under uncultured bacterium. Its description in RNAcentral is "partial 16S ribosomal RNA". It matches the Rfam family "Bacterial small subunit ribosomal RNA", at positions 524 to 776 of the family's 1533-position model. The record is from RNAcentral.
UACAGAGGUGGCAAGCGUUGUUCGGAAUUACUGGGCGUAAAGGGCGCGUAGGCGGCCUUCUAAGUCAGACGUGAAAUCCCCCGGCUUAACCUGGGAACUGCGUCUGAUACUGGGAGGCUUGAGUAUGGGAGAGGGAUGUAGAAUUCCAGGUGUAGCGGUGAAAUGCGUAGAUAUCUGGAGGAAUACCGGUGGCGAAGGCGGCAUCCUGGACCAUAACUGACGCUGAGUAGCGAAAGCGUGGGGAGCGAACAGG